GUCUAUGGCCCAGCACCCUGAACGCCCUGGAUCUCGUGUGAUCUCGGAAGCUAAGCAGGGUCGGCCUGGUUGUACUUGGAUGGGAGACGCUCGGGAAUCGCGGUGCGUAGGCU
RNAcentral lists this ribosomal RNA (113 nucleotides) under Microcebus murinus (gray mouse lemur). The record is from RNAcentral. Lineage: Eukaryota; Metazoa; Chordata; Mammalia; Primates; Cheirogaleidae.